GGACCAGACUCCUACGGGAGGCAGCAGUAGGGAAUUUUGCGCAAUGGGGGAAACCCUGACGCAGCAACGCCGCGUGAUUGAUGAAGCCCUUCGGGGUGUAAAGAUCUGUCAGUGGGGACGAAACUUGACGGUACCUGACUAAGAAGCCCCGGCUAACUACGUGCCAGCAGCCGCGGUAAUACGUAGGGGGCGAGCGUUAUCCGGAUUCACUGGGUGUAAAGGGAGCGUAGACGGCCAAGCAAGCCAGGGGUGAAAGCCCGGGGCCCAACCCCGGGACUGCCCUUGGAACUGCUUGGCUGGAGUGCGGGAGGGGCAGGCGGAAUUCCUGGUGUAGCGGUGAAAUGCGUAGAUAUCAGGAGGAACACCGGCGGCGAAGGCGGCCUGCUGGACCGCGACUGACGUUGAGGCUCGAAAGCGUGGGGAGCGAACGGGAUUAGAUACCCCCGUA
Molecule: ribosomal RNA, 448 nt
Filed under: uncultured bacterium
Lineage: Bacteria
Description: partial 16S ribosomal RNA
Rfam family: Bacterial small subunit ribosomal RNA
Source: RNAcentral